CUACGGGGGGCAGCAGUGGGGAAUAUUGGACAAUGGGGGAACCCUGACGCAGCAACGCCGCGUGAGUGAUGAAGGCUUUCGGGUCGUAAAGCUCUGUCAAGUGGGAAGAACCUAUGCAGUGUUAAUAUCACUGUAUACUGACGGUACCACUGAAGGAAGCACCGGCUAACUCCGUGCCAGCAGCCGCGGUAAUACGGGGGGUGCAAGCGUUAUUCGGAAUCAUUGGGCGUAAAGGGCACGUAGGCGGCUUGGUAAGUCAGAUGUGAAAGCCCGGGGCUUAACCCCGGAAGUGCAUUUGAUACUGUCAGGCUUGAGUAUGGGAGAGGGAAGUGGAAUUCCUGGUGUAGAGGUGAAAUUCGUAGAUAUCAGGAGGAACACCGGUGGCGAAGGCGACUUCCUGGACCAAUACUGACGCUGAGGUGCGAGGCGUGGGUAGCAAACAGGAUUAGAUACCCCGGUAGUC
RNAcentral lists this ribosomal RNA (463 nucleotides) under uncultured bacterium. RNAcentral's name for it is "partial 16S ribosomal RNA". It matches the Rfam family "Bacterial small subunit ribosomal RNA", at positions 339 to 795 of the family's 1533-position model. The record is from RNAcentral.